Molecule: ribosomal RNA, 92 nt
Filed under: uncultured bacterium
Lineage: Bacteria
Description: partial 16S ribosomal RNA
Rfam family: Bacterial small subunit ribosomal RNA
Source: RNAcentral
GAGUUGGGAAUACCCGAAGCCUGUGAGCUAACUUUUAGAGGCAGCAGUCGAAGGUAGAAUCAAUGAUUGGGGUGAAGUCGUAACAAGGUAGC